CAGUAGCCGCGGUAAUACAGAGGGUGCGAGCGUUAAUCGGAUUUACUGGGCGUAAAGCGUGCGUAGGCGGCUUCUUAAGUCGGAUGUGAAAUCCCUGAGCUUAACUUAGGAAUUGCAUUCGAUACUGGGAAGCUAGAGUAUGGGAGAGGAUGGUAGAAUUCCAGGUGUAGCGGUGAAAUGCGUAGAGAUCUGGAGGAAUACCGAUGGCGAAGGCAGCCAUCUGGCCUAAUACUGACGCUGAGGUACGAAAGCAUGGGGAGCAAACAGGAUUAGAUACCCCAGUAGUCUCUGUCUCUUAUAC
RNAcentral lists this ribosomal RNA (301 nucleotides) under uncultured bacterium. RNAcentral's name for it is "partial 16S ribosomal RNA". It matches the Rfam family "Bacterial small subunit ribosomal RNA", at positions 509 to 807 of the family's 1533-position model. The record is from RNAcentral.